This 510-nucleotide ribosomal RNA is filed under the name uncultured bacterium. RNAcentral describes it as "partial 16S ribosomal RNA". It matches the Rfam family "Bacterial small subunit ribosomal RNA", at positions 29 to 523 of the family's 1533-position model. The record is from RNAcentral.
AUUGAACGCUGGCGGCAUGCCUUACACAUGCAAGUCGAACGGCAGCGGGGGAGAAGCUUGCUUUUCCUGCCGGCGAGUGGCGAACGGGUGAGUAAUACAUCGGAACGUGCCCUGUAGUGGGGGAUAACUAGUCGAAAGAUUAGCUAAUACCGCAUACGACCCGAGGGUGAAAGCGGGGGACUCGCAAGGGCCUCGCGCGAUUGGAGCGGCCGAUGGCAGAUUAGGGAGUUGGUGGGGUAAAGGCCCACCAAGCCUGCGAUCUGUAGCUGGUCUGAGAGGACGACCAGCCACACUGGGACUGAGACACGGCCCAGACUCCUACGGGAGGCAGCAGUGGGGAAUUUUGGACAAUGGGCGAAAGCCUGAUCCAGCCAUACCGCGUGCGGGAAGAAGGCCUUCGGGUUGUAAACCGCUUUUGUCAGGGAAGGAAUCUUCUGGGUUAAUACCUCGGGAGGAUGACGGUACCUGAAGAAUAAGCACCGGCUAACUACGUGCCAGCAGCCGCGGUAA